This 406-nucleotide ribosomal RNA is filed under the name uncultured bacterium. RNAcentral describes it as "bacterial SSU rRNA". It matches the Rfam family "Bacterial small subunit ribosomal RNA", at positions 354 to 776 of the family's 1533-position model. The record is from RNAcentral.
GUGGGGGAUAUUGCACAAUGGGGGGAACCCUGAUGCAGCGACGCCGCGUGGGUGAAGGAGUGCUUCGGCAUGUAAAGCCCUAUCGGCAGGGAAGAAGCAAGACGGUACCUGACUAAGAAGCCCCGGCUAACUACGUGCCAGCAGCCGCGGUAAUACGUAGGGGGCGAGCGUUAUCCGGAUUCACUGGGUGUAAAGGGAGCGUAGACGGCCAUGCAAGCCAGGGGUGAAAGCCCGGGGCCCAACCCCGGGACUGCCCUUGGAACUGCAUGGCUGGAGUGCGGGAGGGGCAGGCGGAAUUCCUGGUGUAGCGGUGAAAUGCGUAGAUAUCAGGAGGAACACCGGCGGCGAAGGCGGCCUGCUGGACCGCGACUGACGUUGAGGCUCGAAAGCGUGGGGAGCGAACAGG